RNAcentral lists this small nucleolar RNA (73 nucleotides) under Halovivax ruber XH-70. The record is from RNAcentral. Lineage: Archaea; Methanobacteriati; Methanobacteriota; Halobacteria; Halobacteriales; Natrialbaceae.
GGCCGAUGACGAUGCACCCGGGCCGAACCGGUCUCGGCAACCGGUGACGACGAGCCCUAUGAGUGCCGAGGCC